UCAAGUCAGCAUGCCCCUUACGCCCUGGGCUACACACGUGCUACAAUGGAUAAGACAAAAAGCAGCGAAUUUGCGAAAAUGUGCUAAUCUCCAAACUUAUCCUUAGUUCAGAUUGUAGGCUGCAACUCGCCUACAUGAAGGUGGAAUCGCUAGUAAUCGCUGGUCAGCUACACAGCGGUGAAUCCGUUCCCGGGCCUUGUACACACCGCCCGUCACACCAUGGAAGUUAGUUAUACCCGAAGUUGUUAUCUUAACCCGUAAGGGAGAGAGACACCUAAGGUAGAAUUAGUGACCGGGGUGAAGUCGUAACAAGGUAACC
RNAcentral lists this ribosomal RNA (319 nucleotides) under uncultured bacterium. RNAcentral's name for it is "bacterial SSU rRNA". It matches the Rfam family "Bacterial small subunit ribosomal RNA", at positions 1185 to 1501 of the family's 1533-position model. The record is from RNAcentral.